GUGCAGCAGUCGAGAAACCUUCGCAAUGCAGGGAAACUGCGACGAGGGAACUCCAAGUGCCUACGCUCAGCGUAGGCUGUUCUCAAGCCUAGAAAGCUUGAGAAGUAAGGGCUGGGUAAGACGGGUGCCAUCUGGUGGUAGCAGUCAAUAGAUUCGAUUUGUUACUGCAAGGCAUAAGCCGCCGCGGUAAUACCCCGCAGCCCAAGUGGUGGCCGCUUUUA
RNAcentral lists this ribosomal RNA (221 nucleotides) under uncultured microorganism. Its description in RNAcentral is "partial 16S ribosomal RNA". It matches the Rfam family "Archaeal small subunit ribosomal RNA", at positions 330 to 503 of the family's 1478-position model. The record is from RNAcentral.